AAAAUAGCUAUUUUUUUGAACUGCAGUCUGUCUCUGGGCCUCUAUCCACUCGCCAGCCUGCCACAGAGGGCAAGAAGGUGGAAGCAGGUACUGGGGGCGCCAUUAAAGGGGUGCUAAACAGGGUUUGAAAAUCUAUUUCCUUACCUGAAUAAGGAUGCAUGAGAGUUCGACGUGUGUACCAUACUAUUCAGUGACGUUGUGACAUUUAUCAACAUAUGUGCAACUUGUGAGCCCAUACAAAUCAUUAACAUGCUGAACUCCUUGUACUCUAAAUUUGACUGACUGACUAACGUUCAGGAUGUCUAUAAGUGCCCUUAAAAAUAAAGACUUUGAGAUCAGUUGAAGAGGUGAAAUUGAGGUGAAAGGCAAGGGGAAAAUGACCACAUACUUUCUCGACCAGAACUUAAAAGCCACUGAGGAUGACAUAAUGGGCUGGGCAGAGAGAACCAAGAGACACAGGGCAACAGCCAUGGUAAGCACAGAGAACAGAGCUGCAAGGAAACAAACACCAGCAGGAAUACAAUGAGGAGAGGCUUUCAUGUUUUAGCUUUUAUUCAAAGAUACAGGGAGUACUUUAUUUCCUUUAUGCAACAAGGUUUCGUUUUUUAAUCUUUUCAGAUUUAGUAAAAUAAAUCAAUUAAUCAAUACUCAAUAAUGGCUAUAGACAUAGCUAAAACCAAAACCUCAAAUUCAGUUUGCUGAAACUUAAUUUCUGUAGUUUGCUUAGAAAGGAUUUCAAGCCACAGGUGCAACAAACAGGUGACCCUGUGUUGCGAUACAAUGUCACAACCAUAGAACCCAUUCCUGCUCUAGAACCAUUCCUGAUCUAGUACCCAUUCCUGCUAUUUAACCCAUUUCUGCUUUAGAACCCACUCCUAAUGCUCAGACUUUUAGGGCUUGAAAGCUUAAAAGCUCAAGUGCUGUUUUCAAUUUCAUUUUCAUGUGAUGUAAUGGGAAGGACGGUUGGCUGAUUUCCAUACCCUGCCAAGUUCAAACAUCAUCCACCAUCUAAUCACCCCCUAUACAGUGACUGCUUAUGUGAUUCAACACCAGAGGGGAGGUUCUGGGUACAUAUGUAGACACUGAGAACCACAUUUUCAACUGUGUGGUAACAAUAAGCCUGGCCUUAUUUUAGGUUCAGUAAAGGUACUUGAAAAGUGGUCUCAUUGGGAACUUGAGAAAUAAAUAUUUACAGUAAACAUAUACUUUCUGAAUAUACACUUUACAAAAUUGUACAGUGUUGUAGUGAAAUGACAAUGUCAAUUGAAUGGCAAGACAAGGGCUGAAUGUGAACCGCAAACCAUAUGGUAAAGAAGAAGCUCUGUAGUGGAGAGGCAAGUACAGGUCUUGUGCUGUUGUCAGUAUUAUUAACUAAUCAGCCGCUAGGAGGAGAUCCAUUGCAGUGUGAUUAAACACUAGUAAAUUUUUGUUGCCUGGUUUAUCCAACCCCUCAAUCACAUUGUUAUUGGGUCCCAAUAAUAAAACAUUAAAACGACUGUGUUUUAAAUGAACCCUUUUUCUUCCACCCAGAUGAAAUGAACCCCAGCAGAAAGAGCAAUAAAGUGGAUUUACUGGGAGAUGAAACAGACCAUGAAGUAGAGCUGUCAAAUGUAGAUGUCUUUGGCAGGGAUGCUGUA
Molecule: long non-coding RNA, 1637 nt
Organism: Polyodon spathula (Mississippi paddlefish)
Lineage: Eukaryota; Metazoa; Chordata; Actinopteri; Acipenseriformes; Polyodontidae
Exons: 3
Source: RefSeq, a predicted model, not a curated record